CCAACGUGGAUACACCCGGGAGGUCACUCUCCCCGGGCUCUGUCCAAGUGGCGUAGGGGAGCAUAGGGCUCUGCCCCAUGAUGUACAGUCCCUUUCCACAACGUUGGAGAUGAAGCUGGGCCUUGAGUCUGCGCCUGCAUAUUCCUACAGCUUCCCAGAGUCCUGUGGACAAUGACUGGGGAGACAAACCAUGCAGGAAACAGCC
This 205-nucleotide small nucleolar RNA is filed under the name Saimiri boliviensis boliviensis (Bolivian squirrel monkey). RNAcentral's name for it is "Small nucleolar RNA SNORA73 family (ENSSBOG00000009816.1)". It matches the Rfam family "Small nucleolar RNA SNORA73 family". Rfam says of the family: U17 (SNORA73A and SNORA73B) also known as E1 belongs to the H/ACA class of small nucleolar RNAs (snoRNAs). Vertebrate U17 is intron-encoded and ranges in length from 200-230 nucleotides, longer than most snoRNAs. It is one of the most abundant snoRNAs in human cells and is essential for the cleavage of pre-rRNA within the 5' external transcribed spacer (ETS). The record is from Rfam by way of RNAcentral. Lineage: Eukaryota; Metazoa; Chordata; Mammalia; Primates; Cebidae.